GAUGAACGCUGGCGGCGUGCUUAACACAUGCAAGUCGAGCGAGAAGUUUUGAAAAGAUUCUUCGGAUGAAAUUUAAAAUGGAAAGCGGCGGACGGGUGAGUAACGCGUAGGCAACCUGCCCCAUACAAAGGGAUAGCAUUUGGAAACGAAUAUUAAUACCUUAUGAAACUUAACUAGUGCAUGCUAGGUAGGUCAAAGAUUUAUCGGUAUGGGAUGGGCCUGCGUCUGAUUAGCUAGUUGGGGAGGUAACGGCUCACCAAGGCGACGAUCAGUAGCCGACCUGAGAGGGUGAACGGCCACAUUGGAACUGAGACACGGUCCAAACUCCUACGGGAGGCAGCAGUGGGGAAUAUUGCACAAUGGGGGAAACCCUGAUGCAGCAACGCCGCGUGAACGAUGAAGGCCUUUGGGUCGUAAAGUUCUGUUCUAGGUGAUGAAAACUGACAGUAACCUAGGAGAAAGCCCCGGCUAACUCCGUG
Molecule: ribosomal RNA, 479 nt
Filed under: uncultured bacterium
Lineage: Bacteria
Description: partial 16S ribosomal RNA
Rfam family: Bacterial small subunit ribosomal RNA
Source: RNAcentral